This is a long non-coding RNA of Pygocentrus nattereri (red-bellied piranha), 1143 nucleotides long. The record is from Ensembl. NCBI's taxonomy places the organism in Eukaryota, Metazoa, Chordata, Actinopteri, Characiformes, Serrasalmidae.
GCAACGCAUUAGUGCAGAUUUGGUUAAAACAAAUGAUUACCAGACUUUUUUUUUUCCCUCUCUCUAGAGUUUUGCCUGUUGAUUGUUGAGGACCAUGAGUGCUGGAUUGAAUGUGAAGCCUGUGUCCCAAAAUCACAGCAGCUCUGGAAUCCCUCUGCCUCGGAACAUGAGCACAUUCUCCAAACAGAAUGCCAAGUACUCCAGCAGCAGCCUCGUAUGCCCACCUGGGCAGUUUCAGCCAGGCAGACGUAUGACCUCCUUCUCGUCUUCCACUUCCAGCAUUGCUCCUAUAACUAACUCUAAGGAACUGCUAAAGGAGGCAUCAUCAAGGCUUCAGUAUCAACAGCAGAAAGCUACUCCGAUGAGGGCCUCACUUGAUCGAAUGAUCAGCUCUCGCUCUGCCAACAGCAGCCCACAGAUUCCCAAAAGGAACAUGCUCCGCUCCAAAGACACGCUGGACCUCCAGAGAGGCUCGCUGCCCCAUGAAACACUUCGAGAGCUGGCAAGGAAUGGCAACAAGAACUGGAGAUCUGGUCAAGCCCAUUUCAGGGGUUUGGAUAAUGGUGAUGUUCAGCCACCUUCACGUAUGCAGGAGUUCCAGACAGGCAGAGCAAAGGAAGGUGUCCCUCGUCUCAAAACAACCAAUGGGAAUCUCAUAUGGGGGACAUCAUCUGGUCAUCAAUCUGGUCAUCAACUUGCCUUUAACAAGCAAAGAAGCAAAUUUACAAAUGGAGGCAUAACUGAGAGAGAAAUUAUGUCUUACAAGCUUUCAGGCCAGAAUACCAGAGCAGCUGUUGUCAAUUCUGGAGGUAGUGAGUCCCCUCGAAUGGCUGCAGUGGCACCUUUCAGGUUCAGGCUUCAAGUUCAGGAGGAUACAGAUGCGUCCCCUUUGGACGAUGUCAGCGACUGCUCUUCGGACUCUAUGGAAGUGUGCUGUGAAGAUUUAGGUAAGCCCAUUCUCAAAACGCCUUAAAGUUCGUGACCAGUAUGUUACACUUGCUUUAGGCCUACUAUUAAAGCCCUUUCGACUCUGAAUGUGGAUGUAAUUCAAGCCUGGCAGAAUUAGAUGUAAUUACUGUCUGGGCAAUUGCUAGGUGCAAUGAGAACAUGCUAUUUCGUCUCUUUCCACAUUCAGAACCCUGC